Long non-coding RNA from Tympanuchus pallidicinctus (lesser prairie-chicken), 7575 nucleotides. RefSeq lists it as uncharacterized. The transcript has 2 exons. NCBI's taxonomy places the organism in Eukaryota, Metazoa, Chordata, Aves, Galliformes, Phasianidae. The record is from RefSeq and is a predicted model, not a curated record.
AACCAGCCUGCAAUCUCUGUUCUAUGUACUUUACUACUCCUCGUGAUUUACUGGGAUAAUCGAAAACUUAAAACAGAAGCGUGGCCCUGAACCUUUUCACUACAAGGAAAACAAGACCUUUGUCCCGUCGGCUGAGCUCAGAGCCUGCAGCAUGGCUCACCUGCAAAGAGUCCUGAAAUCAAAGUCACACUGAUGGCAGUCAUAACUGGAUUUGUACUGAAGUGGGUGGAGAUCAAGAGCUCCGAUUGACAUGAGCUCUCUCGUGUAACAGAGAGGAGGCUGGUGGAAGCCAGCCUGCAAACACCAGGAUCGCCAAUAACGUGCUGCCCGCGGCUCAAAGUACGGGCCGUGGUGAGCCGGGGCUGAAAUAUUAACCAGGCUUUGGGGCAGGAAGGCUCUGUAGUUGCCGCUGUGUAUGUGUGUGGUGAUGGGGCUGGAAUAAGGAGCUGAUUGAAUGAACUACGGGCUUUGGGGAGGACUGAUCAUUUAUGGAACUGAGAGCUGUAGUGGCAGGGGAAAAAAGGAUCGCAAGGAGUUCUUUUUGCCCCACACCUCAGAUGGUUUGGAUCCGGGUAGUGUUUUCAGUCUGUAUUUGUUUAUUUUCUAUUUCUAUCGCUGGAGAUGGAGAGGAGAGAUAGGACAGGGCAGCAGUGGGAGUGUUGUAAUCGCGUUACUGAGCCCAGCUGACACCAGGUGCAGGUAAACAUCUCUGCUUGCCCAGAUGGGUGACAGCCCAUAAAUCCUGGGAGCAGCCUGAUGAAAAACAAGGCUUUUGCAACUGUGCCUUUGUACUUGGAAGAAGUUGUGUGUGCAUGACUGAUGGGUGACAGCAUGGCCUCGGCCUGGCUGCUGAGGGACAUGGCUGAGCCAGAAAGGGCCUGACCCUCAUGGCUGUAAAACUGCUGUCUUCUUCCCAAGAGCCAACACCACCAGCAUGCAGCAUUUUCUGAAGCUUGGUGCAGGGCCAAAAGCCAUUUCCCUACUCCCUGCCCAUCCCAUGUAUGUGUGUAUUAUUAGUUUACCCACUGUGGGUCGCUCCCCAGCUGCCAAUGCAUGUCUGCAUGUUAUGUAUUGCAUUACGUUAAGUUUAAAGAAGAGCAUGUCCCUGUUUGAGGAAGAACAGUAGUGAUGUUCCACCCUGCUCCUGUUGAAUCACUACGACACGGUAAGGGCCUGGAGCACGGCAGGGCUCUGUUGUGUUGUCCUGUGUUGCAGCUGAGGUAAAGUGUUGGAUCUGGGCUUUGUAUCAUAAGACUGGUUUCUGAUCAGGAUGAUGGAAUUUUAGAGACAAGACUUUGCCUUCACAUCUCGUUGUGAAGUCUGGGUAAAAGGAAAAAUGUGCUUGUUUAUGAUGCUUUAAAACACACGACUCAUUUUCAAAGAUGAACAAUGAGACCAUAGCAAGUAGAUCUAGAACAGACCACAGCAGUUAAUUCUGGUGCAGGGCUCUGUCUUGGAUUGUAAACUCUGUGAGAUGCAAACAUCAACAUUCACAUGAUGUUUAGCCUGCACAACACAGCAUCUCCAACCAGGCUUUCAGAUCACUCUACAGGAAUGUUUAUCUCACUGAAUGCCUUCUUGUGACAGUCACAUUUUACAACAGCCAUGCACAUGGGUGACCAGCAUUGCAGGCAGUGUCUGUGUGGCAUUGGAGCCAGUACACACCAGUGCGGCUGAGGCUGUGCCAAGCCCCUGCUUUGCUAUGCUUGCUUUACAGUGGUUGGAACCCUUUUGGGUGCUGUGAAUACUCAUCUCAGUCAUGGAAUCACAGAAUGGUUUGGAUUGGAAGAGACCUCAAAGCCCAUCCAGUCCCACCCCAUGCCAUGGGCAGGGCUGCCACCCAGCAGCUCAGCUGCUCAAGGCCCCAUCCAACCUGGCCUUGAGUGCCUGCAGGUAUGGGGCACCACAGCUUCUCUGAGCAAAUCAGCUUCUUGGAAGGAGUAACGUGAGAAGAGUAAAAGUAAGUGCAUUGCUGUGUGACCAGUCAGCAGACGCGCAAAGGAUUUUGUAUUGAAAAGGCAAAAAGAAAAAAAAAAAAAGCAUUAAAAUUACCAUUGCCAUGCUGCCCUCUGGGUUUACACAAAUGCGGUGCAGGGAAGAAUUAGGCUUUUGCAGUUUCAUGUUUCCUUGACCUUUUGAGAGAAGAAUGAAAAAUCUGAUCCAACUGCUGCUCCCUGUUACAAUGCUGAAAGAGCAAUGCAAACUUAAUGUGCUGACUCCCGAGGAGCAGAAUUUCAACUUGCCUAUUGAAAAACCUGGGAGAGAACUGAGGUCUGUAGAGAUCUGAAUGAAGCUGGAUAAUCUGAAUGCCAAACCUCUCUCCCAGGUGGGUGCAAUUACUGGUGCCAAAGCAGAUUCCUUCACCCCGCUCCAGUGGUGACUGGCUUAAGAUAAGAGCAAGGCAGGGAGAAAACACACAGCUCCUCUGGUGCAAUGUCUCCCUGCUGUACAAUGGGCAGCACCUCCCCUGUGCUGCAGCUGCUGCAGCUGGGUGCAGUAGCUGUGUCGUGCUUCCACUCGCAUUGCCCUCACUUGGUGCUUGGGAAACUCUCAUACCAUUAAUGGUUUGCUUUGCUUUGGCUCAGUUUCCUGGUUUUAUUUUCAUCCUACCAGCUUGCUGAGGACAAGCACAGAGGAUGGAUUGCUUCUUACUGAGUCUCAGCGCUGCCUGGGAGAUGCUGGUGGACGCCAAUCACUGCAGUGAAAUGCUGCAUAGCAAUACACACGCAGCUUUUUUCCCUUUUAGAGAUGAGCACGUGUCAAUUGAACAAAGGGUAGAAGUGAGGGAGUACACUGCAAUUUGCUAACGUGUGGCUGGCUUCCCAGUUCCCUGCGCAUUCCCUCAGCCAGACUGCAGUCGUCAUGAUGCUAUUGCCAGGAAAUAUGUAAACAAAAGGGAACUCUCCCUCUCAGCUGAAGCAUUAGGUUGGUUGUGCAAAAAGCCACUCAGAUUGAUCCAUGGUACCUAGUUAUCAAAGGUACUAUUUGUUAUAUGUAUAGGCGUACAGCACUGUUGACAAAGAUCACUUGUUAUUAUAUCUGUAUUUAUUGUGUGAUGAGUCAGAGCUUUAGGACCCUUUCACACAUGAUUGUGAUUUAAAAUUCAGGUGCUCAGGCAUUGCUCUUCUGGAGUCACUUGGAGAUUGGCAAGCAGGCAUUUUUCCAUGGAAAUAACUGAUCUUUAUGUCUCAGCCAAAUUACACAACUGACAGUUAAUGCUGGGGUGAAGUCUCCUUUCUUUUCUAACACUGCAAAUUCAACUGUGUAAACUUCACGGGGAAGAUGUGAUUUUGCCAGAACUAUCUACAAGUUGAAGAAGUCUCCGUACUGUUGUUUUUUUGUUGUUUUUUUUUUUUUUUGUUCUUUGUUUCUUUUUUUUUUUUCCCAGAUGAUAGGAAAGUUUUCUUCCAAAGGCAAGCAAAACAAUGAGCACAGUAAGUGAUUACCACAAACACUUAUUCCCCAGCCCCCUUAAAAAAGAAAAAAUGGACACCCUAGGAGAUGACAAAUAGCAUAGCCCAGCUCAGUGUUUGCUAUACAUUGGCAUCUCAAUGCUACACAAUUUUUACAUAACAAAAGAAGGAACAAUUACCGUUCUUGUUCAAGGACCACAGCAAUCCAAUGCUGAACAUGCAACAUGCACUUGUGAAGCAAUUCCAAGUGGCAGUUUUGAGCACUGAUAGCCAAUACAACAGGAAAAAUAAGCCACACUGUAUUAAGGAUUUGUCUUUGAUAGUCCUUUCGGUACAGCUAAGAGCUAGAGAUAGCUGGUAGGCUUGGCAUCCCCAUGGGGAUGCAGGAUAGUUGCAUGGAGAGGAGUUGCCUUUUAGUGGCUCACAUCUGUGAUCCGUUCUGUCCUCCAACACCAGCUGUGAGCCUCAGCAUGCAGCUGUCUGCAUUUGCAACAUAGAAAGAUCUUUGCUGUCAGAGUGAUGGCACACUGGAACAGGUUGUCCAGAGAGGUUGUGGACCUCUUUCUCUGAAGGUAUUCAAGACCUGUCUCACGCCUUUCUAUGUGACCUUGCCUCCUAUGGGAUCCUGCUUUAGCAGGGGGUUGGACUUGAUCUCUAGAGGUCCCUUCCAAACCCUACAAUUCUGUGUGAUUCUGUAAUGUCUCACCCCCAUGAAACACCUGACAGACAGAAACAUCCUUCUCACUCUGCCCUACUGCUUUUCCCCUUAGCUCUGAACAAAGACUCUCCCGUUCCAUGAAGCUUUGGCAGCUAUAAAACAUCACAGAGCAGCAGCUUCCCAGGGAUGCUCUGGGACUGAGCAACCUCUGGAUUUCCCAGCGGUGCUGAAGAACUCCAACAUUUCUCUGCUUUGAAUAGAGCUGGCAAAAUUCAUAAUUGCUUCCAUUCUGCUUGGCUGGAAAAUAGCAAAAUCCAGGCACACUGCCAUAGGACUGCUGGGUGCAGAGUGGGUAUGACAGAGAGCUCUGCACCAAGGCUUACCCAACAGAAGUGAAGGCAUCCCACAGCUCGGCCUGGCUUUUGUGUAUCUUUUAAUAUAUAUAUAUUUUUUUUUUUUUUUCCUUUUGUGUGUUUUUUUUUCUCUUCCCCUUAAGUGUAGCAGCAGCAGUGAGGUGAUGACUUACCUGCUGCAGCUUGGGAGAUAGCAAUCUGAAAGGGAUGGUUGUCACACAAUGCCCAAGCAGAACUUUUCUGGCCCAAAUUUCUCUGAUUAUGUUGUUACCUGAUCAGUGAAGAGAACCAUGAAAAACACAAUUACCAGGAAGCACUGCUCCUUUCCUUGUCUCUUUGUCUUGCUGCAGACGGGGCACGUGACUCUCAGAGAAAUAGAAGAGCUGCCAUUUUCAUUCACGUGACCCAAAGAGGUGCUGCAUGCCAGUCACACCUAAGUGUGGGAAAGCUCAGCCACUGGCUGACAAACCUGAACACAUCAUGUUUGCAGCUGGAAUUUAGAUGUAUCUGGUGGACCAGAGCAUGGCAUGAAGAACUGGAAAACCCCUACCCUGAAGACAGCACACGGAAGGGAGGAUAAAGGUUCGAGUGAGCUUGGUGUGGUGGGACAGAAAAUUUUUGGCCAUUGAUACAGUAUCAGACUAGAAGGAAAGGGGACAAGCAAUUUCUAACUGUGGGUGUUGAUGCCAAACUUCCUCAGUGCAAGCCCAUGUGUGCAUCCUGGGCUGCACGGGAAGACCUGGCUGUGUCUUCAGGGGAUGCACAAGAGCGAAGGGAAACCUCACCAGUGGAACAAAGGAUAGUGUCCUAAGUGGACUGGAUGAUAACCUGAUGGACUGAAGGAGAACCUUCUCUACUGACUGCCAUUCCAAAGCCCUAUUUGAAGUAUACACCAAAGACUACAAUGACAAAUGCCACCGAGUGACCAACAUUUGUAUCAUGAAUUGCAAUCAAAAAGAACUGGCUCCAAGUCAGCACAGACUCCCAGUGAACUUGAUGGAUAAGCAUGCUUCAAAGUGAUGGUUAAAAUGUAUUGUUUGCCUAUUGCAUACUGCAAAUAUAAGUAUCCAAAACAGGAGAGAACAGACUUUGGCAAGCAAACUGAUAACAAGCCAUGCUCUUGAGGAAGGCUCAUGAUUUGGAGGGAACACUGAGCUGGAAGGGAAUGCUGAAUAUAAAUAAGAAUCAAGUUUACUUUAAGCAGCACAAAUGGCAGGGCUGUGAGCCACAGCUCAGACUUUAUCAUUCUUCUGCUGAGGGAAUAGUUUGAAGCAUAUUUGCUGUUUUAUACUCUGAUGUGUUCUCAUUGCAGGAAAAUAUCAGCCACUGCAGAAAGGUCUUUAAAUAUUUAAGCAUGUUUUGGCCAUCUCUGGUUUGUCAGUUUAUGAGUGACCAGGGAGGACGUAAGUUCCAGCAGAGGAAACGAAAUCCCACUGUUAGGUCUUGGUGGCUGUCAAACUGUAAGAAGUUUCCCUGCCUCUAGAACAUAAAUCUUCCUGAUUUCUCUGUGUUGAGGGUGUAAUAGUAGAUAAAUGGUACAUGGUACAACUCUGGUGUGCAGUUCGUGUAAACUGUUGGGCUUAUAAACUGAAAUGUGUUAAAUCUGUUACACGAACAACACCAUCCAGAAAAUAGAAUACAGUCACAGAAUCGUAGAAUCAUUAAGGUUGGAAAAGACCUCAAAGAUCAUCAUGUCCAACUAUCCAUCUACCACCAAAAUUGCACACUAACCCAUGUCCCUCAGUACUACAUCCACACAGCUCUUGAACACCUCUAGGGGCAGUGACUCCACCACUUUCCUGGGCAGCCUGUGCCACUCCCUCACCACUCUUUCUGAGAAGAAAUUUCUCCUAAUAUCCAACCUGAUAUUACAAUCUCCCCUUGUACAACUUGAGGCCAUUCACUUUCAUCCAUUGCUGUCACCUGGGAGCAGAGGCUGAUCCCCAACUUGCCACAACCUCCUUUUAGGCUGUUGUAGAGAGCGACAAGGUCUCUACAUCUCUAUAUCUCCUCCAGAUUAAACAAUCCCAGUUCAAGAUUUGAUGGCUGUCAUGAUUUCCCAGACUGGGAGAAACCCUGCCUGCAGGCAGGGCCCUGGGGAAGGGAAGCUACCACUGCUGGGCCCUGCUCAGCGCUCUCUUGGAAAGAAGCACAUGGGAUAGUGUGCGCUGAAAUGAAAUAGCUCAGUGAUGCCACCAGCCCAACCCCUGACACUUCUGUGGGGUCUGGCUCCUUGUAGAAGUGCCUGUGAGGGUUCUGCUGGGGAUCCAGGAAGGUAUCACAGAGGGGUUUGCUCCAGUGAGAAGUUCUGCAAGUGGGAGGCUCUGUGGAAUCAGUCUCAAGCAACGGUUGUUCAAGAGAAACACGCUGCUGGUCAUGCUUUUAUCCUGGACCACAUCAAGCGAAGCAUUCUGGUGGUUCUGGAAGAGUGAAUUUACAUUGAAAACCCACAGCUCUUACAAGCAGUGCAUUAAUUAUUUUAUUAAUUUGCUCUUUUUACAUUAUGGGAAACAUUCAUCUAUUUACAUUUUCCUGUCCACACACCCAUCUAGGUAGAUAAUCCUAUGGAAAUCCAAAUCGUUAUGCCAUAAAACCACUCUCCUCUGUCUAAAGGCUUUCAAUUUUUAUUUUUUUUUGCCAUUUGUUUCAUAUUAGAAACAUUUUCAAAAUAACAUUUGGGAAUGCAGGUAGGCCAUCAAAUUACAUCCCGAUUACUUAAAACGCGCUUUUGACCUUUUUCCUUAAAAAAACAAAACCAAAAAACAAAACCAAAAUGAAAAGCCCCAAAAACUUCACAAAGAUUCUGUUCAAAUUAAAGUGAUAGUGCACAUAAAAGCAUUAAGGGAACAUGAAUAAAUAAACUGAACUAUAUUACAAAUAAGUUAUUUCUAUUUACCUUUUCAAAUAUUAAAAAUCUUUAAUCCAUUUCUUCAUCUUUCUUUACAAAAAAAGAUUAUGAGAAUUUGAUGGAAACAUCUGCAAAAAAUAUAAUAAAUACUGAUUUUUUUCUUUUCCUUUUUCUUUUUUUUUUUAACUUCUGAAGCAGGAGACAAAAGCAACCUUUUCUAAAAUUUCUCCCAAGCCAAAAAAAAAAAAAAAAAAAAAAAAAAUGAAAGAAAGAAAGAAGGAAAGAAAGAGAGAGAGAAAGAAA